Molecule: ribosomal RNA, 484 nt
Filed under: uncultured bacterium
Lineage: Bacteria
Description: partial 16S ribosomal RNA
Rfam family: Bacterial small subunit ribosomal RNA
Source: RNAcentral
AUUGAACGCUGGCGGCAGGCCUAACACAUGCAAGUCGAGCGGAUGAAGGGAGCUUGCUCCUGGAUUCAGCGGCGGACGGGUGAGUAAUGCCUAGGAAUCUGCCUGGUAGUGGGGGAUAACGUCCGGAAACGGGCGCUAAUACCGCAUACGUCCUGAGGGAGAAAGUGGGGGAUCUUCGGACCUCACGCUAUCAGAUGAGCCUAGGUCGGAUUAGCUAGUUGGUGGGGUAAAGGCCUACCAAGGCGACGAUCCGUAACUGGUCUGAGAGGAUGAUCAGUCACACUGGAACUGAGACACGGUCCAGACUCCUACGGGAGGCAGCAGUGGGGAAUAUUGGACAAUGGGCGAAAGCCUGAUCCAGCCAUGCCGCGUGUGUGAAGAAGGUCUUCGGAUUGUAAAGCACUUUAAGUUGGGAGGAAGGGAAGUAAGUUAAUCCCUUGCUGUUUUGACGUUACCAACAGAAUAAGCACCGGCUAACUUCGUG